GAUGAACGCUGGCGGCGUGCCUAAUACAUGCAAGUCGAGCGAACAGACGAGGAGCUUGCUCCUCUGACGUUAGCGGCGGACGGGUGAGUAACACGUGGAUAACCUACCUAUAAGACUGGGAUAACUUCGGGAAACCGGAGCUAAUACCGGAUAAUAUAUUGAACCGCAUGGUUCAAUAGUGAAAGACGGUUUUGCUGUCACUUAUAGAUGGAUCCGCGCCGCAUUAGAUAGUUGGUAAGGUAACGGCUUACCAAGGCAACGAUGCGUAGCCGACCGGGAAGUGUGGUAGGCCACACUGGAGCUGAGACACGGUCCAGACUCCUACGGGAGGCAGCAGUAGGGAAUCUUCCGCAGUUGGCGAAAGCUUGACGGAGCAACGCCGCGUGAGUGAUGAAGGUCUUCUGAUCGUAAAACACUGUUAUUAGGGAUGAACAAAUGUGUAAGUAACUAUGCACGUCUUGACGGUACCUAAUCAGAAGGCCACGGCUAACUACGUG
This 497-nucleotide ribosomal RNA is filed under the name uncultured bacterium. RNAcentral's name for it is "partial 16S ribosomal RNA". It matches the Rfam family "Bacterial small subunit ribosomal RNA", at positions 28 to 507 of the family's 1533-position model. The record is from RNAcentral.